RNAcentral lists this ribosomal RNA (442 nucleotides) under uncultured bacterium. RNAcentral's name for it is "partial 16S ribosomal RNA". It matches the Rfam family "Bacterial small subunit ribosomal RNA", at positions 338 to 795 of the family's 1533-position model. The record is from RNAcentral.
CCUACGGGUGGCUGCAGUGGGGAAUAUUGGGCAAUGGGCGCAAACCUGACCCAGCAACGCCGCGUGAAGGAAGAAGGCUUUCGGGUUGUAAACUUCUUUUGACAGGGAAGAGUAGAAGACGGUACCUGUCGAAUAAGCCACGGCUAACUACGUGCCAGCAGCCGCGGUAAUACGUAGGUGGCAAGCGUUGUCCGGAUUUACUGGGUGUAAAGGGCGUGUAGCGGGGUUGAAAAGUCAGAGGUGAAACCCGGCGGCUUAACCGCAGAACUGCAUUUGAAAUGGUUGAUCUUGAGUACUGGAGAGGCAGACGGAAUGCCUGGUGUAGCGGUGAAAUGCGUAGAGAUUAGGAGGAACACCAGUGGCGAAGGCGGUCUGCUGGACAGCAACUGACGGUGAGGCGCGAAAGCGUGGGGAGCAAACAGGAUUAGAUACCCGGGUAGUC